GGGGUUGUAGCUCAAUGAUAGAGCACUUGCCUUGCAUGAAUGAGGCACUGAGUUCAAUUCUCAGCACCA
This 69-nucleotide transfer RNA is filed under the name Marmota marmota marmota (Alpine marmot). It matches the Rfam family "tRNA". Rfam says of the family: Transfer RNA (tRNA) molecules are approximately 80 nucleotides in length. Their secondary structure includes four short double-helical elements and three loops (D, anti-codon, and T loops). The record is from Rfam by way of RNAcentral. RNAcentral also lists the same sequence under 4 other names. Lineage: Eukaryota; Metazoa; Chordata; Mammalia; Rodentia; Sciuridae.